RNAcentral lists this ribosomal RNA (330 nucleotides) under uncultured bacterium. Its description in RNAcentral is "bacterial SSU rRNA". It matches the Rfam family "Bacterial small subunit ribosomal RNA", at positions 568 to 898 of the family's 1533-position model. The record is from RNAcentral.
UCCGUAGGCGGUGCGGCAAGUCGGUAGUGAAAUCUCAGGGCUUAACCCUGAGGCUGCUUCCGAAACUGCCGUGCUCGAGUGCGAGAGAGGCGAGUGGAAUUGCAGGUGUAGCGGUGAAAUGCGUAGAUAUCUGCAGGAACAUCCGAGGCGAAAGCGGCUCGCUGGAUCGCAACUGACGCUGAGGGACGAAAGCUAGGGGAGCAAACAGGAUUAGAUACCCUGGUAGUCCUAGCCCUAAACGAUCAGGACUGGGCGUGGGUUUCGUACGGGGCUCGUGCCGCAGCUAACGCGUUAAGUCCUGCGCCUGGGGAGUACGGUCGCAAGGCUGAA